AACGAACGCUGGCGGCAGGCUUAACACAUGCAAGUCGAACGCACUCUUCGGAGUGAGUGGCAGACGGGUGAGUAACGCGUGGGAAUCUACCCAGCCCUUCGGAAUAGCUCCGGGAAACUGGAAUUAAUACCGAGUACGCCCUACGGGGAAGGAUUAUCGGGUUGGAGUGAGCCCGCGUUGGAUUAGCUAGUUGGUGGGGUAAGUGGCCUACCAAGGCGACGAUCCAUAGCUGGUCUGAGAGGAUGAUCAGCCACACUGGGACUGAGACACGGCCCAGACUCCUACGGGAGGCAGCAGUGGGGAAUAUUGGACAAUGGGCGCAAGCCUGAUCCAGCCAUGCCGCGUGAGUGAUGAAGGCCUUA
Molecule: ribosomal RNA, 362 nt
Filed under: uncultured bacterium
Lineage: Bacteria
Description: bacterial SSU rRNA
Rfam family: Bacterial small subunit ribosomal RNA
Source: RNAcentral